RNAcentral lists this ribosomal RNA (253 nucleotides) under uncultured bacterium. RNAcentral's name for it is "partial 16S ribosomal RNA". It matches the Rfam family "Bacterial small subunit ribosomal RNA", at positions 524 to 776 of the family's 1533-position model. The record is from RNAcentral.
UACGGGGGGGGCAAGCGUUGUUCGGAAUUACUGGGCGUAAAGGGCGCGUAGGCGGCCUGCUAAGUCGGACGUGAAAUCCCUCGGCUCAACCGGGGAACUGCGUCCGAUACUGGUGGGCUCGAAUCCGGGAGAGGGAUGCGGAAUUCCAGGUGUAGCGGUGAAAUGCGUAGAUAUCUGGAGGAACACCGGUGGCGAAGGCGGCAUCCUGGACCGGUAUUGACACUGAGGCGCGAAAGCCAGGGGAGCAAACGGG